Long non-coding RNA from Triticum dicoccoides, 669 nucleotides. RefSeq lists it as uncharacterized. The transcript has 2 exons. The record is from RefSeq and is a predicted model, not a curated record. Lineage: Eukaryota; Viridiplantae; Streptophyta; Magnoliopsida; Poales; Poaceae.
AGAUUAGAUCGUACAACCUCUCUCUCUCCCGAGAGCAACAGGAGCUUGACCGGCCGGCCUCCGUCCAACUCCGGCGACCGUCAACUCCGGCCACCGGAUCUGCUUCCCCACCAGCCUCCGCCCAACUCGGGCGACCGUCAACUUCAGCGAGGCAGUUUUGCGGUGAGGUGUGUCUGUCCUGGCCAUCGACGGGUCCGAUGACGACGACAAGGUAGUGGGUUCACCGGCUGGCGCUGGAUCCGGCGUCCACGACGCCGCUUGGCGGCCUCCUCGUCCAUCCCGUCCCCGGCGUGACCAGCUCGUGAGCACGGGCACCACGACGGGUCAUCGCCAGAUCCGGCGACUCCAAGCCUGACCGCCACCGGAUUUCAUCGUCGGCCUCCCCUGCUACUUCAGUUUCAAAUAUUUGUUGAACAUUCUUUGUUUCUUUACCAGAUCGUCGGCCUCCCCUGCUACUUCAUUUUCAGAUAUUUGCAACUUGAUUUGAACAUUCUUUGUUUGUGACAGAGAGCAUGGGGUAUAGUUUUUUUAAAGAGACUGAGAUCUAUGAAAUUACUUCUCUGAAAAUAUGUAAUUACUUCCCUGUAAUAUAUUUGAAUGUGGUGUUGCAAGUUCUGAAACAAAUUUAUGUGAAAUGAUUUCUGGAAUAUAUGUGAAUUUAUAUUUCAA